Molecule: ribosomal RNA, 237 nt
Filed under: uncultured bacterium
Lineage: Bacteria
Description: partial 16S ribosomal RNA
Rfam family: Bacterial small subunit ribosomal RNA
Source: RNAcentral
ACUCGACCCCAUGAAGUCGGAGUCGCUAGUAAUCGCAGAUCAGCAACGCUGCGGUGAAUACGUUCCCGGGCCUUGUACACACCGCCCGUCACGUCACGAAAGUCGGCAACACCCGAAGCCCAUGGCCCAACCGGUCUGACCGGAGGGAGUGGUCGAAGGUGGGGCUGGCGAUUGGGACGAAGUCGUAACAAGGUAGCCGUACCGGAAGGUGCGGCUGGAUCACCUCCUUUCUAAGGA